Molecule: ribosomal RNA, 2931 nt
Filed under: Escherichia coli
Lineage: Bacteria; Pseudomonadati; Pseudomonadota; Gammaproteobacteria; Enterobacterales; Enterobacteriaceae
Description: bacterial LSU rRNA
Rfam family: Bacterial large subunit ribosomal RNA
Source: RNAcentral
UUAAGCGACUAAGCGUACACGGUGGAUGCCCUGGCAGUCAGAGGCGAUGAAGGACGUGCUAAUCUGCGAUAAGCGUCGGUGAGGUGAUAUGAACCGUUAUAACCGGCGAUUUCCGAAUGGGGAAACCCAGUGUGUUUCGACACACUAUCAUUAACUGAAUCCAUAGGUUAAUGAGGCGAACCGGGGGAACUGAAACAUCUAAGUACCCCGAGGAAAAGAAAUCAACCGAGAUUCCCCCAGUAGCGGCGAGCGAACGGGGAGGAGCCCAGAGCCUGAAUCAGUGUGUGUGUUAGUGGAAGCGUCUGGAAAGGCGCGCGAUACAGGGUGACAGCCCCGUACACAAAAAUGCACAUACUGUGAGCUCGAUGAGUAGGGCGGGACACGUGGUAUCCUGUCUGAAUAUGGGGGGACCAUCCUCCAAGGCUAAAUACUCCUGACUGACCGAUAGUGAACCAGUACCGUGAGGGAAAGGCGAAAAGAACCCCGGCGAGGGGAGUGAAAAAGAACCUGAAACCGUGUACGUACAAGCAGUGGGAGCCUCUUAAUGGGGUGACUGCGUACCUUUUGUAUAAUGGGUCAGCGACUUAUAUUCUGUAGCAAGGUUAACCGAAUAGGGGAGCCGAAGGGAAACCGAGUCUUAACUGGGCGUUAAGUUGCAGGGUAUAGACCCGAAACCCGGUGAUCUAGCCAUGGGCAGGUUGAAGGUUGGGUAACACUAACUGGAGGACCGAACCGACUAAUGUUGAAAAAUUAGCGGAUGACUUGUGGCUGGGGGUGAAAGGCCAAUCAAACCGGGAGAUAGCUGGUUCUCCCCGAAAGCUAUUUAGGUAGCGCCUCGUGAAUUCAUCUCCGGGGGUAGAGCACUGUUUCGGCAAGGGGGUCAUCCCGACUUACCAACCCGAUGCAAACUGCGAAUACCGGAGAAUGUUAUCACGGGAGACACACGGCGGGUGCUAACGUCCGUCGUGAAGAGGGAAACAACCCAGACCGCCAGCUAAGGUCCCAAAGUCAUGGUUAAGUGGGAAACGAUGUGGGAAGGCCCAGACAGCCAGGAUGUUGGCUUAGAAGCAGCCAUCAUUUAAAGAAAGCGUAAUAGCUCACUGGUCGAGUCGGCCUGCGCGGAAGAUGUAACGGGGCUAAACCAUGCACCGAAGCUGCGGCAGCGACACUAUGUGNNNNNNNNNNGAAGCUGCGGCAGCGACGCUUAUGCGUUGUUGGGUAGGGGAGCGUUCUGUAAGCCUGUGAAGGUGUGCUGUGAGGCAUGCUGGAGGUAUCAGAAGUGCGAAUGCUGACAUAAGUAACGAUAAAGCGGGUGAAAAGCCCGCUCGCCGGAAGACCAAGGGUUCCUGUCCAACGUUAAUCGGGGCAGGGUGAGUCGACCCCUAAGGCGAGGCCGAAAGGCGUAGUCGAUGGGAAACAGGUUAAUAUUCCUGUACUUGGUGUUACUGCGAAGGGGGGACGGAGAAGGCUAUGUUGGCCGGGCGACGGUUGUCCCGGUUUAAGCGUGUAGGCUGGUUUUCCAGGCAAAUCCGGAAAACCAAGGCUGAGGCGUGAUGACGAGGCACUACGGUGCUGAAGCGACAAAUGCCCUGCUUCCAGGAAAAGCCUCUAAGCAUCAGGUAACAUCAAAUCGUACCCCAAACCGACACAGGUGGUCAGGUAGAGAAUACCAAGGCGCUUGAGAGAACUCGGGUGAAGGAACUAGGCAAAAUGGUGCCGUAACUUCGGGAGAAGGCACGCUGAUAUGUAGGUGAAGCGACUUGCUCGUGGAGCUGAAAUCAGUCGAAGAUACCAGCUGGCUGCAACUGUUUAUUAAAAACACAGCACUGUGCAAACACGAAAGUGGACGUAUACGGUGUGACGCCUGCCCGGUGCCGGAAGGUUAAUUGAUGGGGUUAGCGGCAACGCGAAGCUCUUGAUCGAAGCCCCGGUAAACGGCGGCCGUAACUAUAACGGUCCUAAGGUAGCGAAAUUCCUUGUCGGGUAAGUUCCGACCUGCACGAAUGGCGUAAUGAUGGCCAGGCUGUCUCCACCCGAGACUCAGUGAAAUUGAACUCGCUGUGAAGAUGCAGUGUACCCGCGGCAAGACGGAAAGACCCCGUGAACCUUUACUAUAGCUUGACACUGAACAUUGAGCCUUGAUGUGUAGGAUAGGUGGGAGGCUUUGAAGUGUGGACGCCAGUCUGCAUGGAGCCGACCUUGAAAUACCACCCUUUAAUGUUUGAUGUUCUAACGUGGGCCCCUUACCGGGGUUGCGGACAGUGUCUGGUGGGUAGUUUGACUGGGGCGGUCUCCUCCUAAAGAGUAACGGAGGAGCACGAAGGUUGGCUAAUCCUGGUCGGACAUCAGGAGGUUAGUGCAAUGGCAUAAGCCAGCUUGACUGCGAGCGUGACGGCGCGAGCAGGUGCGAAAGCAGGUCAUAGUGAUCCGGUGGUUCUGAAUGGAAGGGCCAUCGCUCAACGGAUAAAAGGUACUCCGGGGAUAACAGGCUGAUACCGCCCAAGAGUUCAUAUCGACGGCGGUGUUUGGCACCUCGAUGUCGGCUCAUCACAUCCUGGGGCUGAAGUAGGUCCCAAGGGUAUGGCUGUUCGCCAUUUAAAGUGGUACGCGAGCUGGGUUUAGAACGUCGUGAGACAGUUCGGUCCCUAUCUGCCGUGGGCGCUGGAGAACUGAGGGGGGCUGCUCCUAGUACGAGAGGACCGGAGUGGACGCAUCACUGGUGUUCGGGUUGUCAUGCCAAUGGCACUGCCCGGUAGCUAAAUGCGGAAGAGAUAAGUGCUGAAAGCAUCUAAGCACGAAACUUGCCCCGAGAUGAGUUCUCCCUGACUCCUUGAGAGUCCUGAAGGAACGUUGAAGACGACGACGUUGAUAGGCCGGGUGUGUAAGCGCAGCGANNNNNNNNNNUGCGGAAGAGAUAAGUGCUGAAAGCAU